Molecule: unclassified non-coding RNA, 287 nt
Filed under: air metagenome
Description: partial contains small subunit ribosomal RNA, internal transcribed spacer 1, and 5.8S ribosomal RNA
Rfam family: Eukaryotic small subunit ribosomal RNA (bases 1-46)
Source: RNAcentral
AAGUCGUAACAAGGUUUCUGUAGGUGAACCUGCAGAAGGAUCAUUAGUGAAGAUUUGGGCAGGCCAUACGGACGCCAAAAAAGUGUCCCUGGCCGCCUACACCCACUAUACAUCCACAAACCCGUGUGCACUGUCUUGGAGAAAGGCUUCUUGAGAAGUUAUGUGACCUCUCUUGGAGGUCUUUCUUCGCUACAAACUCGAAUGGUUAGUAUGAACGUGGAACUUGGUUGGACCGUCACUGGCCAACAAACUAUACACAACUUUCGACAACGGAUCUCUUGGUUCUC